This 173-nucleotide ribosomal RNA is filed under the name Phyllodytes acuminatus. RNAcentral's name for it is "partial 16S ribosomal RNA". The record is from RNAcentral. Lineage: Eukaryota; Metazoa; Chordata; Amphibia; Anura; Hylidae.
AUGUGAUCUGAGUUCAGACCGGAGCAAUCCAGGUCAGUUUCUAUCUAUAACGGAGCUUUUCCUAGUACGAAAGGACCGAAAAAGCACAGCCAAUACUUAUGCAAGCCGUAAUUAAUAAAACAUGAUUUAAUCUUAAUAAACACACAAUCCAUUUAUAGCCUCAAGAUAAGAGC